This 503-nucleotide ribosomal RNA is filed under the name uncultured bacterium. RNAcentral's name for it is "bacterial SSU rRNA". It matches the Rfam family "Bacterial small subunit ribosomal RNA", at positions 39 to 518 of the family's 1533-position model. The record is from RNAcentral.
GCGGCGUGCCUAAUACAUGCAAGUCAACGGCUUUCUAUGGAAGCUUGCUUCCACUGAGAAGAUAGUGGCAACGGGUGAGUAACACGUGGGUAACCUGCCCAUAAGAGGGGGAUAACAUCCGGAAACGGGUGCUAAUACCGCAUAGUUUUCUUGGUCGCAUGAUCGGGAAAGGAAAGACGGCCUUUGUGCUGUCGCUUAUGGAUGGACCCGCGGCGUAUUAGUUAGUUGGUGAGGUAACGGCUCACCAAGACGAUGAUACGUAGCCGACCUGAGAGGGUGAUCGGCCACAUUGGGACUGAGACACGGCCCAAACUCCUACGGGAGGCAGCAGUAGGGAAUCUUCCGCAAUGGACGAAAGUCUGACGGAGCAACGCCGCGUGAGUGAAAGAAGGUUUUCGGAUCGUAAAACUCUGUUGUCAGAGAAGAACAAGUUGGAGAGUAACUGCUCCAGCCUUGACGGUAUCUGACCAGAAAGCCACGGCUAACUACGUGCCAGCCGCCGC